UUGAAGAAUUUGAAGACUUCAACUUGCAGAAUUAAAGAAUUUGAAGACCUCAACUUGCAAACUUGGAGGACUUUGAAGACUUUAAUU
RNAcentral lists this microRNA precursor (87 nucleotides) under Solanum tuberosum (potato). Its description in RNAcentral is "MIR8024 microRNA precursor family". It matches the Rfam family "MIR8024 microRNA precursor family". The record is from Rfam by way of RNAcentral. Lineage: Eukaryota; Viridiplantae; Streptophyta; Magnoliopsida; Solanales; Solanaceae.